GUAAGGUAUGUUUUUUGCUGAUGAUACUAAGAUAUUUAACAGGGUUGAUGGUCCAGGAGGGAUAAACCACAUGGCAAAUGAUUUAGGUAAACUAGAACAAUGGUCAGAGUUGUGGCAACUGAUAUUUAAGGUGGAUAAGUGCAAGAUAAUGCAUAUUGAACCUAAAAACCCAAGGGCAGAGUACAGAAUAUGUGAUAGAGUCCUAACCUCAAC
This is a non-coding RNA of Pelobates cultripes (western spadefoot toad), 213 nucleotides long. The record is from the annotation of a GenBank genome assembly. NCBI's taxonomy places the organism in Eukaryota, Metazoa, Chordata, Amphibia, Anura, Pelobatidae.